RNAcentral lists this ribosomal RNA (508 nucleotides) under Ryuthela ishigakiensis. RNAcentral describes it as "partial 16S ribosomal RNA". It matches the Rfam family "Bacterial large subunit ribosomal RNA", at positions 1786 to 2625 of the family's 2925-position model. The record is from RNAcentral. Lineage: Eukaryota; Metazoa; Arthropoda; Arachnida; Araneae; Heptathelidae.
CCCAUGGCGCCUGUUUAUCAAAAACAUGGUUUUUUGGGUAUUAUAAAAAAUCGUACCUGCUCCCUGCUUAAGUUAAGAGCCGCAGUAUUAUGACUGUGCUAAGGUAGCAUAAUCAUUUGUCUUUUAAAUGAGGUCUGGAAUGAAGGGUUUGAUCGAAGAAAAAGCUGUCUCUUUAUUAUUGAGUGAAUUAAAUUAAUUAGUAAAAAGGCUAAUAUUAACCUGAAAGACGAUAAGACCCUAUUAAGCUUAAUUUUUAAAAUUUUACUGGGGCGGUAAGAUGUGAUUUAAAUCACAUCUCGAGACGGUUAGAUUUGGGUGACCCAAAUUUAUUGGAACUUAGAUAAAGUUACUAUAGGGAUAACAGCUUAAUUUUCCAUUGAAGAUCUUAUUUAAUGGGAAGUUUGAGACCUCGAUGUUGAAUUAAAGAGCCUUAUAAGUGUAGAAGUUUAUAUAGGAAGUCUGUUCGACUUUUAAAUCUUUACGUGAUCUGAGUUCAGACCGGCCAUGG